CCUACGGGAGGCUGCAGUGGGGAAUAUUGGACAAUGGGGGCAACCCUGAUCCAGCCAUGCCGCGUGUGUGAAGAAGGCCCUCGGGUUGUAAAGCACUUUCAGUGAGGAAGAACGCCUGGUGGUUAAUACCCAUCAGGAAAGACAUCACUCACAGAAGAAGCACCGGCUAACUCCGUGCCAGCAGCCGCGGUAAUACGGAGGGUGCGAGCGUUAAUCGGAAUUACUGGGCGUAAAGCGCGCGUAGGUGGCUUGAUAAGCCGGUUGUGAAAGCCCCGGGCUGAACCUGGGAACGGCAUCCGGAACUGUCAAGCUAGAGUGCAGGAGAGGAAGGUAGAAUUCCCGGUGUAGCGGUGAAAUGCGUAGAGAUCGGGAGGAAUACCAGUGGCGAAGGCGGCCUUCUGGACUGACACUGACACUGAGGUGCGAAAGCGUGGGUAGCAAACAGGAUUAGAUACCCUAGUAGUC
Molecule: ribosomal RNA, 465 nt
Filed under: Vreelandella stevensii
Lineage: Bacteria; Pseudomonadati; Pseudomonadota; Gammaproteobacteria; Oceanospirillales; Halomonadaceae
Description: partial 16S ribosomal RNA
Rfam family: Bacterial small subunit ribosomal RNA
Source: RNAcentral